AUUGAACGCUGGCGGCAGGCCUAACACAUGCAAGUCGAGCGGCAGCGGGCCUUCGGGUGCCGGCGAGCGGCGGACGGGUGAGGAACGCGUGGGAAUCUGCCUAUAGGUGGGGGAUAGCCCGGAGAAAUCCGGAUUAAUACCGCAUAAUACCUGAGGGUUAAAACGGAGGAUCGCAAGACUUCGUGCCUAUAGAUGAGCCCACGUCAGAUUAGCUAGUUGGUAGGGUAAAGGCCUACCAAGGCGACGAUCUGUAGCUGGCCUGAGAGGGCGGCCAGCCACACUGGAACUGAGACACGGUCUAGACUCCUACGGGAGGCAGCAGUGGGGAAUAUUGGACAAUGGGCGCAAGCCUGAUCCAGCCAUGCCGCGUGUGUGAAGAAGGCCUUCGGGUUGUAAAGCACUUUAAGUUGGGAGGAAGGUUCGAUGGCUAAUAUCCAUCGGAAUUGACGUUACCAACAGAAUAAGCACCGGCUAAUUCCGUGCCAGCAGCCGCGGUAA
RNAcentral lists this ribosomal RNA (498 nucleotides) under uncultured bacterium. RNAcentral's name for it is "partial 16S ribosomal RNA". It matches the Rfam family "Bacterial small subunit ribosomal RNA", at positions 30 to 523 of the family's 1533-position model. The record is from RNAcentral.